This 253-nucleotide ribosomal RNA is filed under the name uncultured bacterium. Its description in RNAcentral is "partial 16S ribosomal RNA". It matches the Rfam family "Bacterial small subunit ribosomal RNA", at positions 524 to 776 of the family's 1533-position model. The record is from RNAcentral.
UACGAAGGGGGCGAGCGUUGUUCGGAUUUACUGGGCGUAAAGGGCGCGCAGGCGGCUCAUUUUGUCAGGCGUGAAAGCCCCGGGCUUAACCUGGGAACUGCGUUUGAUACGGAUGGGCUAGAGUUCGGGAGAGGAGAGUGGAAUUCCCAGUGUAGAGGUGAAAUUCAUAGAUAUUGGGAAGAACACCGGUGGCGAAGGCGGCUCUCUGGACCGAGACUGACGCUGAGGUGCGAAAGCGUGGGGAGCAAACAGG